AUUAUUUUCAUGUUGGGUAACAACUCUGCUCUUCCUUUUCCUAAACGGCCUACAUUUAUUUCAAAAACAACUCACAAGGGUGAAGAUUUAUCAUCCUCUGGUGAACGACUUUUAUCUGUAAAUAAUGUGACCUUGACUUUGCUUCAACCUCGUUAAAUGCUUACACUCUCACAUGUUGUAUGUUUAUCCUCCAUGACAAUGAAUUGUAUACAUGAUAUCACUAAGAGAACACCUUUUGAUUUAAUGAUCAUAGUUAGAUAAUUAACCAACUCUUUAAGUGUAUGCUUAAAGAUAGGGCGAGUAUGGAAACUUGUAGGUACAAUCAAACAAUCGAUUAAAUAUGAUCAGCCCCAUUGAAUUUAUGAGCAUAAACUGUUUCAACAUUAAGGCCUUACAAUCAUACAACUAACAUGGUUCAAAUUGAGCUAAUUCUUUACACAUGAUAUGCUAAAUAGGAUCUAUCAAAUGAUAAACAAAAUAGCCCAUAUGGGUAAUGGAAGAACUUGGAAGGAGGCAAUGCAUUGGUUCAAAACCAUCAUGAGAUGUUUCUCAUAUUUUCGUUUUUGCUAGAAUGGUCAAAUCGACAUCCUCUUUUAUAUUCAGGGCAUACCUGUGGUUCCUAAAAUGAAUUAUUAGGGUCAUUCCCUUUUCCUAUCAAGCAAUGAGUGACCAUGGGAAUAUAUGCCCAUUUGAAUUUUGGAUAGUUGGUUGCCUUGACCAUAAGGCAUCUCAAUGUUGUCCUGAUUCUUGAGGUAGUUAAUAAAAGAAAAGAAAACAAGGGAAUUAUAUAUGUUUUUCUGUUUUGGGCAAGGCAAAUGAGAUCAAAUUUGACAGUAGAUGGAUGUUUAGUACAUGAGCAUCUUCAUUGCAAAUAAUUUUACAAAUUUUGAAUACAUUCUUCAUCAGAUUUCCACUUUCUCUAAAAUACUAUAGAUGGUCGAACAUGGGUACAAGGUAUGGCUUCAAAUCCAUAACAUCUUAAAAUUCAAAGUUAAGAACUGAUUAUGUGAAAUCAAGGGGGGAAAUAUCAUUGGGAAAUGGAAAAAGAUUUGAGAAAUGAUAAUGAUGAAGACUUCAAAGAGAAAAAAAACUGACUUUUACUCUUGAUUAGGAUACUUGGGCCAUCCAACCCUUGACAGAUUGAGUUAAGUUCAAAGAGGGAAAGCCGGCAUAUUCAUAAUUUUAAGAUGAAAAAUGGAUUGGUUUAAAGACUUUAAGGCAUCCCUAAUUUGGUUGGUUUUUAAGUACUGACUAAUGAGAAGAUUUAUUCUUUGUUUUCCUUGAUUUUUUUUUUUUAAUCUCAUUGACAAAUGAACGACAAUACGUGUUAAAAGAAUAAUUAAAAAGACACUAUUACUUCAAGGUGGGGCACAAGGGAAGCAAGACAACAAAAAAUGUUAUAAUUUGAGCCUUGUUGCUACAUGCCUCCAAAAAAUUUUCUCCAAGAACAAAGAAGUAUCGUGUAAGUAGAAUAAAUUAUAAUUUAGGAUAAAAAGUAGAGGAAUUUAAGAAAAUAUGAAUAUAGUUCUUACCGACAACAGUUUAAACUCUUUUAUUUCCAUCCAGUAUAUGUUUUUAAUUUUUGACAAUUUCUACGUCUCUCCAUCUCUUUUGCUUGUGGUCUUACGUUAUCACAUGGAGAAGUUUUACUUAAAAACUAUAUAAUGGUAUUUUAAUACGGUGUCAAAGCUUCAUUUAACGAGAGAUCAUGUGUUUAAGCUUUAUCAUAUAUUUAUUUUUUAAUUUAUAGUUAUUUGUUUAUGGGUAUUCGCCCCUGAGGAAGGACAUCAAAAAACAUAAUAUACAUUAUAAACCAAAAUCCAAUAAAUUUAAGCUUUUAAAAAAAAUUAUAAUUUGCUUAAACCAUUAGAAAACCUGUAGUUGAAAGCGAGGAAACUUUCAUACUUUUUGUUUUGAUGAGACAAAAAUGUCAAUUUUUGAUUGGAUAAGAAACUUCAAAAUAAUUGUUAGAAUUGCUUGAAAAAUCUAAAGUUACAUCUGGUUUCUUGAAAAUAAUAUGAAAAAAAAAAUUAGGAGAAAUGAUUUCCUCAUAUUUAAUUUAUUAUAAAAACAAAAAUACCAUAAAAAUUUAAAUAUAAUUAAAAUUAAUAAAAAUUUUAAUGUAUUUUUAAAUUAAUUAACCUUUAUAAAGAAAAGAAAAAUAAUUUAUUAACUUUAAAUCUAUCUUUUAUUUUUCUUCACUUAUUUAUUUAUUUAAUUUUUUAUUUUUCCUCCCUCUUUCUUUCUAUUACAUUUUCAUCAAAUCUUCCAACAACCGAAUAUAGGGUUAUAUCUUCAUCAAGACAUAACCAUACAUAGGGAUAUAAAAAGCAAGCAAUUAAUAUUCUACUGGUGGUUGGAACAUAGUGUCAUGCAUCCAAUGCCAAAAUACAACAUUGAACAAAUCUUUCCAGUUUGUUUUAUUUGUCACAGCAGCAGCCAUACAUAACUUACAAGAGAUGACUAGUGACACCAACUGGUCAUGAUGCCAAGUUGCUAGCAUAUAACCGAAUUUAUAAUGAAUUAUAUUUAGGACAAAAUUAUGGGACAAAGCUCAAUGGAUUGAUUCCUUCUACUCCCGUCAUACCAAACAUGUUUGUAUAUUGUCACACCAACCACGAGGCCACAUGUAUAAAUAAUAAUUAGCUAUGAUAUCUUCAAACGUACUUAUCAUCAAUUUCUUAUAUUCCCUAACUAUUUUUUUAACACCUUGAAAUUCAAUAUUCAAGUAUUUUCUUUCAUUAAAUAAAAAAAAGUUGCUGAAAUACGAAUUUAAUAGUAAGAUGGAUGAUUAAACCAUGAUCAGACUAUAGUGCAAGUAUCAUAUUAUAAAUAUUUAAUUUAUAUAUUAUUAAAUUUAAAACUAAUUAUAAAAAAUAAAAUUAUAUAGAGACAAUUAAAUUUUUUAAAAUAUUUUAUGAUUGUGUCUUUAUUUAAUAGUUUCAUGUUAAAAAUAAAAUGUAAAUAUGUUAAUAUUUUUUUAUUUUAUUAUAAUAAAAUUAUAAUAUCUAAUUAUUAACAAAAUUGAAACAAAAUUUAUUAUUAAUUCAUUCACGUUUCAUUAAUUUUUUAUUUACAUAUUAUUAAUUUUAAAUUUUAAAUUUUAUAAUUUUAUUACUUAAUAUGUUUUAUGAAUGAGAAGUUAAUUUUAUUUUAAUCUAUUAUAAGUCAUUCAUACAAGGAUAGAAAUGUUUGUCAUGGUAAUAUUCAUGUAAGUAGAAUAAAAAUAUUAGUAAUUAAAGAUAUAUUAAUACUUAGAUUUUAUAAAUAUAUUAAAUAUCAAGAGAAAAUGUCGAUGAAUAUUUUUUCACAAAAUUUUAGUGGAUGAAAAUUAGUAUGGGGCCAUAUAAGGCAAGCCAAUUCCACCUGUGGUUCUUUGUUUUAAAGAGGCAUAAUCAAUUAAAUCAAUUCAAUCCCAUCUCCUUUCGUACACGCAUUCGAAAAUAACCACAAAAUAAAACCUUUUAAAAAUAAUUUAUUACAAAAUAGGAUUAAUAAGGAUAAAAUAAUUCUCAUAUUUGUAAAUUUAAUCCUUUAUAUAUUUUUACUUGAAAAGUAACAUAUUUAAUAUAAUAUCUCUAUUCAUUUUAAGCAUUUACACGGAAUUUUAAAAGAAACAAUUAUUUUUAUAAGAAAAAAGUGAAAGUAUUUUUGUUAAAAUGAGGUUAAAAAAUUAUAAAAGGUUAAAUUUCCAAAUUUGAGUUGUCCAUCACCCUUUUAAUUAAAUAACAUUAAAAAUAAUGCCUUAAUGGAAAAUUACAUAAAAUCUUAAUUAUUUUAAAAAAAAAAUGUAUUAAUUUUGAAUUUUUUAAGAAUGAGUUUUUAUUUUGUGAUCUUUUUGAAAUAUUUGGGAAACCAAAGGUAUGUUUAGGAAGUGUUUUUAAAAAUAAUAUUUUGUGGUUAAAAAAAAAAAAAUGUAUUUGGGAACUAAAUUAUAAAAAACAAUUUUUGUUUUUAAAAAAAAAACAUAUUUGAUUAAGUUAAUAAAAACAGUUUUUAGGAACAAGUAAAAAAAAAAACCUUAUUUCAAAGUUGUUUUUUUUUUUUUAAAUAACAUAAAAUAAAAUUGAGUAUUUUCUUCAAUUAACUUGACAUUAUAAAUAUAUAAAUAAUUUUACAUUUACAAUUCAUAAAAAAUAAAAAUUUGUUCCAUUUUGAAAACUUUUUACAUCUGUUUUAAUUUUUUUUUCAAAGAUUACUUUGUAAACUUGCCUAACUAUAUAUGUUUGAUUUCAAUAAUCGGAAAACAAUCCCAUUAAAAUAUGGUAAAUAUCAAUGAUUGGAUUUUAUGAAGAUAAAAUUUAUAAUAUCAAAUAAUAAUGCAUCAUACUUGGAAACUCAUGAUUUAUUUUUUCUAUUUAAUGAUAUAAAAAAUGUAACUAAUAAUGAUAUAUUUAUGAUAAUUUUUUGUUUAAAAUUUAAUUUAAUUAUUAUAUGAAAGAUAAAACAUUCUUGAAGUAAAUCAAAUUAAUUUAUAUAUAUAUAUAUUCAUAUAUAUUACUACUUUAAUACCUUUUUGGAUAGAAAUCAAGAUCAAAUAUCUUAUCAUUUUUUUUUCUUCAGUCCUCUAUCUCCACUAUUGUCUUUCUAAUCCUCUAAUUCCCUUCACCUAUCUCCUCUUGUUCUCCAUUUCUCUUUCAAGAUUCAAACUUUAUUCUUUGAGGCUCAAUCAUUCCUCUUUAGAUCGACAUUAGUCACCAAGACCAAGAUCAAGAGAUGUGGUUGAUGCACAGAUUCUUGGUAAGGGUUUUAUUAUUAUUAUUAUUAUUAUUAAUUUUUGUAUUUUUGGUCUUUUGUGUUUUUGUUUGGUUUCUAGAAAAUCCAAGAAAUUGUGGAGGUUUUGGGUUUGAAAUGCAUUUGAAAAAUCAUAUGGUGAUAAAAUCCUAAAAUAUCCAAAAAAAAAAUUGAAAUAAAAAUGACAAAAAAUAAAUCCAAAAAUGGUCUGUUAAUAUCGAAUUUUUGUGAAACCAAUUUUUCUUCAUUGUGCAAAGAAGAAACGGUAACACAUAGAGAACAAAUGAAAAAUAUUAAUUGAAAAUAAGGAGAGCAUCCCAUUUUUUUUAUUGUCAAAAUAGUUUUAAAACAUAGAGAAUACCAUUUUUUUUGUUAUCUGAAAAUCGGAUUUUAGAAAACAUGGACAACAAUUGAAAAAACAAAAAACAUUCUCUUACCUAACCCAUUUUUUGUUCUCAAAAGAAAAAAAAAAAAAUAGAUUUUGAAAACACCAACCAAAACAAUGCCAAACUUUUCCUUUUCAAAAUGGUUAAUUACUACGUAUCGGCGGGGACGGGAUUGCAAACUUCGAAAGCAACACCCUUGUGGUCUUGGUUUUUUCAAGGUCCUAAAAGCAGGUGAAAACAUAAAAUAAGAUUGACUUGACCUUUUCAACGUCGUUACAUCGUAUACAUCAAUAUAAGCAUCACUGUGCUCAAUAGAACCCACAAGCAAUGAAUCGGUGAGUCCUUUCCUUGACUUGGCAUCGAGUAGGCUAGUGCCAGUCUUAUCUUCCCAUGGGAGACGCCAAAUGCAUCAAAUAGCGUAGAACAAUUUGAGCAAUUGGCCAUUGCCAAACAUCGCUUUAAGUAAUGUCUUCUGUAAAACUCUGUAGAAAUCUGUAAAAUGGUAUUGGCCUCAAUGCCAAAAAUCGGGUGGCUAUUCUCAUUUAUAUACAAUUACAGAAGAAGUUUUGAAAUACACAAUAACAAAAAUUUAAAAAUACAUAACAAAAAUUCAAAUAUAGUCAAGGGUUAUCUCUUAAAGUAGAUAAGUGUUUAUUUGUUUCAUUCAAUCGCAACUGAUCUGGUGGAUAAGAUAAGUGAGAAGCCAAGGAAAUCUCGGUGGUUUGAAUGUUGUGGUUAUCAUCCCCCCUCAAGCUAAUGGGGAGAGAAACCACCAUUAGCUUGUCACGAAGCAGACAAAACCAAGCUAAACUUAGUCCCUUUGUAAAGAUAUCAGCAGGCUGAUCAUAAGAACCAAUGAACUAAAGGAAAAUAUCUCGAUUAGCAACUUUCUCGCGGAUGAAGUGAAAAUCAACUUCAAUAUGUUUGGUGCGGGCAUGAAACACAGGAUUAGAAGCAAGAGCAAGAGCGCCACUGUUAUCACACCAAAUAGUAGGAGCUGUGGGCAAAGAAAUAUGAAGUUUUUUGAGGAGCAUACGAAUCCAAUACAACUCAGCAGUAGUAAUAGUUAAUGCCCUAUAUUCGGCUUCAGUGCUAGAACGAGCUACCACAGAUUGUUUCUUGGCAGUCCAUGAGAUUAAGCAAGAGCCAAAGAAAACGCCAUACCCAGUAGUUGAUCUUCGAUCAUCGGGAUUACCAGCCCAAUCUGAAUCACAAAAGGCUUGAAGAGUUUGCUCGCCCUUAGUGUACCAUAAUCCCAGAUCAAUGGUGCCUUUUAAGUAACGUAAGACACGUUUUGCUGUUGUCCAAUGAACAGAAUUAGGACAGUGCAUAUGUUGGCAUAGUUGGUUGACAGAAAAUGCUAUAUCAGGUCUAUUCAAGGUGCAAUAUUGAAGAGCUCCCAUAGUUUGUCGAUAUUCUGUAAUUUGAGAAGCUGUGAGUGGCUCACCAACAUGAGUGGAUAAUUUAAGGCCUGUGGUACAAGGAGAGGAAGCAGGUUUUGCCCCAGCCAUCUUGGUACGUUGAAGAAGAUCCCCAAUGUACUUGGAUUGUCGAAGAUGUAGGCCAGAAGAGUCACGACUUGCUUGGAUGCCGAGAAAAUAGCCUAAAGGACCAAGGUCUUUCAUCUUGAACUCGGUCUGUAGCUUUUGGAUUAGAGACUAAAUGAGAGAAGGAUAUGUACCAGAUGAGGAUAAAUAGAUGAAUAUGGCCCUUAUGAUAGACAAAUAAGGAGGCAUCCACUGGUGAGGAUAGGAAACCGAAUUCAAGUAGAGUUUGAGAUAGACGCAUAAACCAAGCACGAGGUGCUUGUUUGAGGCCAUAAAGUGACUUGUUCAGUUUGCAAACAUAAUCUGGAAACUCUGAAUUAACAAACCCCUUAGGUUGCUCCAUAUAUACAUCCUCUAGCAAGAUCCCAUGAAGAAAAGCGUUAGAUACAUCAAGCUAUCUGAUUUCCCAAUCAAAUUGAACAGAAAGUGUAAGAAGCACUCGUACAGUAGAAGGCUUAAUUACUGGACUAAAAGUCUCAAUAAAGUCAAUACCUUCUUCUUGAGCAAAUCCCAAAGCCACUAAUCUUGCUUUGAAUCUGUCAACCUCACCUGUGGAUGUUUGUUUAACUUUAUACACCCACUUAUUUCUCACCACAUUAUGAUCAACAGGUCUAGGACAUAGCUUCCAUGUCUCAUUAGCCAAUAAAGCAUCAUAUUCCUCUCUCAUAGCAACACACCAGUCAGGUAAUAAAGCAGCUUGUCGAUAAGAUGUUGGUGCAAGGGGAGUCACAAUACUGGAUAAUGCUUGGAGAGGAUAUUGAGUGGAAUAGAGUUUAAAAUCUGAAAAUGUGCGAGGUUUGAGGUUGCCUGUUUGGGAGCGAGUUGUCAUGGUGUGAUGAGAGUGAUUGGAAGAAGAGGAAACUUCAGGUAUAGAAAGGAAAGGAGCUGGACCAAGUAUGGGAAAAGGUAGAGUGGAGAUAUGAGGAGAAGUGGGGAUAGGUAAAGAUUCUAGAGGAGAAUCAGGUGAAUCUGAAAUAAUUGGAGAGGAAUGCUGUAAAUUAGAAGUAAAUAAAGAAAAUGAAGGAGAAGGUAAAGGCGUACCUUGAGAGGAGACCACUGGAAGAAGUUCAGAAGACUGCAAUCCAUCCUUAGCAAGAAAUGUAUUCUCAUUAAACACAACAUGUCAUGAGAUUAGAACUUUUUGAGUGACAGGAUCCAAGCAUCUAUAUCCAUUUUGAUGGGAACUAUAACCUAGAAAUAUGCAACGUUUGGAUCUGAACAUUAAUUUGUGAGUUGCAUAUGGUCGCAACAAUGGAAAACAAGCACAACCAAAGGUGCGCAAGGAGGUAUAAUCAGGAUGUUUGCCAAAUAAUUUAAGAUAUGGUGUUUGGUUAUCAAGAGUAGAUGUUGGCAUUCUAUUGAUGAGAAAAAUGGAUGUUAAAAAGGCAUCAACCCAGAAUUUAGUGGGCAAAAGUGACUGAGCUAACAGAGACAGUCCCAUUUCCACCACAUGACGGUGUUUACGCUCAGCAACCCCAUUUUGUUGGGGUGUAUGAGGACAAGUGCGGCGAUGUUGGAUUCCAUUAGAGGAAAGAAACAAUUGAAAUUGGUUGGACAUGUAUUCUCCACCUCCAUCCGAUUGUAAUUGCUUAAUUUUGCAAGAAAAUUGGUUUUCAACUAGUGUUUUGAAUUUAACAAAGCAAGCAUAUACAUCAUAUAUAUUUUGGAGAGGAUAAAGCCAUGAGAAUCGUGAAAAGUCAUCAAUGAAUAAAACAUAAUACUUGCAUCCACUGAGAGAUUUGGUAGAACAAGACCAUACAUUAGUAUGAAUUAAUUGCAAAGGAAAGGAAAAAACACGAGUAGAAGGUUUGAAAGGAAGUUGCUUACCUUUGCCAAGUUGGCAAGAUUCACAAAAAUGCAUUUUAUUCAAUGAUCCUUCAACAGGUAAGGAAUGUUUAUUUAAUAACUGAGACACAAUGGGAAGAGAUGCAUGUCCUAAUCUAGAAUGCCAAAUUGAAACUGAUGCUUUAAUUCCUACAACGGCUGACAAAGCAUGUGAUUUAUUGAUAGACAUUGACCGCAACUGGAUUGGAUAGAGACCCCCUUCACUCUUGCCUUCCAGUAGUGUCGUCCCCGUUUGUAUGUCCUUGACAAAAUAAUGAGUACCAGUUAGAAUAAAGAGGCAAUUGUUAUCAAGACAGAAUUGAUUUAUGGAAAGCAAAUUGGCAGAAGCUUGAGGACAAUGGAGGACACGUUUGAGGUUUAAUUUAGCUUCAGGAGUAUGAAAAAUAGUAGUACCAGUAUGUGCAAUACUUAAACCUUGGCCAUUACCAACAGCUACAUUUUCUUGUCCUGUGUAUGGUUGUUGUAGAGUAAGAUGCUCCAGAUUGGCAGUAAUGUGUUGAUUAGCUCCACUGUCAGCAAACCAUGUCUCUUCCUCUUGCUCAGCAUUGCUAUUUGCCACCAUAGCAGCUAACUGGGUUGGUGGAUGACGACCCUGAUAUGCAUAAUUCAUUAUAUGAAAGCAAUCUAAUGCCUUAUGACUUAGCUUUCCACAGAUUUGACAAGGUGACUUAGGAGUGGAAAAUGAGUGCUGCUUCUGAUUUGGCUGAGGUGAGAAAGGUAAACCAGAGGGUUGUGGUGAAUAUCGAGGACGAGGAUUUUGUGAAAAUGAAGGACGUGAAUAUGGUUUACUUGGGUUUUUGGGUUUGCGAUUGUACUGCUGUUGGUUGGAUUUGGGAGUGAAGAAAGCAAAAUUAUUUGUCUCAGGUGGUAUAGCAAUAUUCUGGUUUUCCAAUAACAGUUCAUAUGACAAGAGCUCGGCUUGAAAAUCUUCAAAAGAAACAUUCUUGUCUCUAGUGGCAAAGGACAGAGAGGUUAUAAAGGGAUUAAAGGAUGGGUUGAGACCACUCACAAUAUAAGACAUUAAGUCAUCAUCCUCAAGUGGCUUACCAACUGCAGCUAAUUCAUCAGACACCAACUUCGUUUUUUCAAGAAAAUCAAUGCACUUCAUUGACCCUUGAUGAAGAGUCUGCAACUUUCGCUUUAGGUGGUGUACACGGGUUCUGGAUUGAGAGGCAAACUUGUUUGCUAGAGAACUCCACACCUCUCGAGCAGAUGUGAUGCCAUAGGCAGAAGCUAGCACCUUGUCAGAUAAAGUGGCAUUGAUCCAACUUAACACACACUGAUCUUUCUUAUUCUAGAGAAUAUAUGUUGGAUUAAGAGAACCAUCAAGAGAUUUUGAUGGACACGGCUCAGAACCAUCCACGAAGCCCAUCAAGUCAUGACUUUUCAGUACUGGCACAAUCUGAGAUGACCAUAUAAGAUAGUUUGUGUCACUCAGCUUGAUCGACACCAGAUGACCAAUGUUUGGAGGAGCAAAGAUAACAUUGGAGGAAGCGGAAGAAGAGAAGGCCAUAGUUGAGAAGGAAAGGAUCGAUUGAAAUUAGGCGUAUGCCAAUCGCUUUGAUACCAUGUAAAACUCUGUAGAAAUCUGUAAAAUGGUAUUAGCCUCAAUGCCAAAAACCGGGUGGCUAUUCUCAUUUAUAUACAAUUACAGAAGAAGUUUUGAAAUACACAAUAACAAAAAUUUAAAAAUACAUAACAGAAAUUCAAAUAUGGUCAAGGGUUAUCUCUUAAAGUAGAUAGGUGUUUAUUUGUUUCAUUCAAUCGCAACUGAUCUGGUGGAUAAGAUAAGUGAGAAGCCAAGGAAAUCUCGAUGGUUUGAAUGUUGUGGUUAUCAAUUCUUCCACCCUUCAAGUAUCUUAAAUCGAUUCAGUUUUAGGUAGAUAUCGUUGUCAUUUUUAAGCCUUACUUCAUAUCAUUAAGCUCCGUCACGUAGUCACCACUCGCCAGUUCAAUGCAUGCGUCAAAAUUGAAGUUGAACCGUUGGGUAGGUGCAAUUUUGAAGUCAUCAAUUCUAUGACAGAUAUAAUACAACUGCAACUUUGUCCAAUUCAUAAAUGCGGUGUGGAGAUAGUACAAAUGCAACUCUGUCUAAAGCUUUUGUCAUUUGCUCCACUCGUUCCUUCAUGGUAUGCCUCGUUAGUUUGUGUUGUAGAAUUGCUCUGUCUCAUCCACCAGCGCUGAGCGUCGGUAACACGGAAGUCAUCACUUUAUCAUGCAGUCACAUAUUUUUUUUACUUAAAGCAUUUUUUGUUCUAAAAAAAAACGGAUUUUGAAAACAACAAUCAAAAGGGCCAAACUUUUCCAUUUCAAAAUGGUUAAUUACUACGUAUGGGUGGGGACAGGAUUGCAAACUUGGAAAGCAACAGUGACAUUUAACGUGGAAAGAUCAGCCCACUCCCUUGUGGUCUUGGUUUUUUUAAGGUCCUAAAACCAGGUGAAAACAUAAAAUAAGAUUGACUUGACCUUUUCAACGUCAUUACAUCGUAUACUUCAGUAUAAGCAUCGUUGUGCUCAAUAGAACCCAAACUACAAGCAAUAUGAAUCAGUGGGUCCUUCUUUCCUUGAUUUCACAUCCACUAGGCUCGUGACAGCCUUAUCUUCCCGUGGGAGACGGCAAAUGCACCAAAUAUCUGAGAACUUUGAACAAUUUGAGCAAUAGAACCCACACAACUACAAGCAAUAUGAAUCAGUGGGUCCUUUCCUUGACUUUACAUCCACUAGGCUCGUGCCAGCUUUAUCUUCCCGUGGGAGACAGCAAAUGCACCAAAUAUCGGAGAACUUUGAACGAUUUGAGCAAUUGGCCAUCGCCAACCACCUCUUUUAAGUAAUGACUUCUUCUACUCUUCAAAUCUCUUCAAUCGAUUCAGUUUUAGGUAGAUAUCAUUGUCACUUCUGAUUCUUUGAACCUUACUUAUUAUCAUUAAGCUCCGUCACGUAGUCGCCACGCGCUAGUACUUCAAUCCACCUGCAACUCGUUCCUUCACGGUAUGCCUCGUUAGUUUGUGUUGUAGAAUUGCUCUGUCUCUUCCACCAGCGCUCAGCAUCGGUAACACGGAAGUCAUCACUUUAUCAUGAAGUCACAUAUGCAUCCUGUAAAGAUGUUUCUUCAGUACUUGCUUCUAUUCCUUAUGCUCCCACUUUGCAGCUCCACUAACACCAUAACUCCCAACCAACCCUUCAGAGAUGGUGACCUUCUAGUCUCUAAACAGUCCAGGUUCGCUCUUGGCUUCUUCAGUCCACGGAAUUCUACACUCCGAUAUAUUGGAGUUUGGUACAACACAAUUCGUGAACAAACCGUUGUAUGGGUUCUUAACAGAGACCAUCCUAUCAACGAUAGCUCCGGAGUCCUCUCCAUCAACACUUCUGGAAACCUCCUUCUGCACCGCGGAAACACUCAUGUAUGGUCCACAAACGUUUCCAUCUCAUCAGUCAACGCUAUUGUGGCUCAGCUGUUAGAUACCGGAAACCUAGUCUUGAUCCAAAACGAUGACAAGAGGGUUGUUUGGCAAAGCUUCGAUCACCCGACAGACACCAUGCUUCCCCACAUGAAGCUAGGACUUGACCGGAGAACUGGGUUGAAUCGGUUCUUAACAUCUUGGAAGUCGCCGGAAGACCCGGGAACAGGUGAAUACUCGUUUAAGUUGGAUGUGAAUGGAUCUCCUCAACUGUUCUUGUCUAUGGGUUCCAAGUGGAUUUGGCGAACGGGCCCCUGGAACGGUCUUGGAUUCGUGGGUGUGCCGGAGAUGUUAACUACCUUCAUAUUCGACAUCCGGUUUUGGAACACUGGGGAUGAGGUCUCGAUGGAAUUCACCCUCGUGAAUUCUUCCACUUUCUCAAGCAUUAAGUUGGGCAGUGAUGGAGUCUACCAGCGCUACACGUUGGACGAACGAAACCGCCAAUUGGUAGCGAUCUGGUCGGCGGCGAGGGACCCCUGCGACAACUACGGUCGGUGUGGGCUCAACAGCAACUGCGACGUCUACACAGGAGCUGGCUUUGAGUGCACAUGCCUUGCGGGAUUCGAGCCCAAGUCGCAACGUGACUGGUCCUUGAGAGACGGGUCGGGUGGGUGUGUGAGGAUCCAAGGCACGAAUACCUGUAGGAGUGGGGAAGGGUUCAUAAAAAUAGCAGGUGUGAAGCCACCAGAUGCAUCGACGGCACGUGUUAACGAGAGUUUGAACUUGGAAGGCUGUCAAAAGGAGUGCUUGAAUGACUGUAACUGCCGUGCAUACACUAGCGCUGAUGUGAGCACAGGAGGAAGUGGGUGCUUGUCUUGGUACGGCGAUUUAAUGGACAUAAGAACCUUAGCCCAAGGGGGCCAAGAUUUAUUUGUUCGCGUGGAUGCUAUUAUUUUAGGUAUGCGUUCCUACUUACUCACAAAAUUAAUUAUCCAAGCUUAUCUUACUCGAAAUUAUUCAAAGAAAUUAAAUACAAUGACUUAUUUCUUUCCACAUUCUAACUCCAAAUUGAUAUCCUACAUGGAAUAGAAAAAAACCAUGUUUAUAAUGUAGUAUUGUAAACUAAUCCAAGGAUAGAUUAGGACAAAUUGAUCAAAUAAUUCAUUUUUAUUAAAUGAAUAAUAAACCUUUUGAUAUUAAUUGUAACAUCACUCACAUAUUUAAUCAACUAAAUGUCCUUGCAAAAUAAAUUUAAUAAUUACUAAUGACUUAUAAAUGAAGAAAGAUAACAUACGUAAUAUGCUAUGACAACAAUAUAAUACAAUUAUAUAUAAUAAAAGAAAUUAAUUUUGGUACAGAUUAUUUUAAUAUCAUGUUCAUAAGUAUUAUAAAAGAUGAUUUAUUUUUGUUUUAUACUUAACUUUAUUUAUUUUUUGUUCCGACUUCAUGAUUAAAUAUGACAAAAAGUAAAGACAAAUUAAAUGAACCUAAUGUUUCUAAAAAUAUCAGAUGCUAUUAGUAGUUUAUCACAAUUACAUAUAUUUAAUACAUUUUAAAAAAGUAUUCAACUUGUGAAUUUUAAAAUUAUGAAUAUAUAUAUAUAUAUUAGAUUGGGUUCAACUUGAGGUUGUAUUAGUAAACCGUCAAUGAAACCUAGCUUCGUAUUUUUCUAAAUUUGAGGCUCAUCUAUUGAUGUUCACCCUAGCACUCUUCUUUAUUAAGUUUUAUAAUCAUGUUAUAUGGUUUUCGUCUCCCUUACAUCAAACAAAGGUUUUAAGACUUUUAAGAUUAAUGUUGAUUUUUCUACAUUUUUUUCCCUUCUAUAGCAGAAAAUGAAAGAACAAAAACUUUCUUUCACAAGACAAUGAUGAUAGUGAUUCUCACCGUCGGGGUUGUUUUCUUCAUGAUUCCCACGAUUUGUUCAUCUUGGUUGAUAAUGAAGAAAAGAAAAGGUAUUUAAAAGUUUGUGGUAAUGAAGUAAUGACAAUUUUCAUUUAUUUUGCCUUCUUUUAAGAAUACCACAAUAAAAUAGAGUAGAAUGAUUCCAAAAACUUUGAAGUACUAGAAAAUAUAACAAUUAAACAUUGAUAAUUUGUUGGUUAUCUUGAUAUCAUGCAGGUAAAGGAAGACAAUGUAAAACGUUGUUUAAUAUGAGCUCAAAAGCUACAAGGCUCAAACACUAUUCAAAAGCAAAGGAGAUAGAUGAAAAUGGAGAAAAUUCUGAAUUACAAUUCUUUGAUCUAAGCAUUGUAAUUGCAGCAACAAAUAAUUUCUCUUUUACUAACAAACUUGGACGAGGUGGUUUUGGCAUAGUUUAUAAGGUAGUCAUCAUCAAUGGUGUGUUUUAAAUUUACAUGCAUGUUUCAUGAUAGCCAUUAUAUUAAUUAAGUUGAAUUUUUUUCACUAUAUUCAAACAAUGAAUAAGCUAAAUCUAUAUAUAUUUUGAUGAUUGUUAGGGUCUACUAUCCAAUGGACAAGAAAUAGCUGUGAAAAGAUUAUCAAGGAAUUCAGGACAAGGAGUAGAAGAAUUUAAGAAUGAAGUCACUCUAAUUGCAAAACUCCAACACAAGAAUCUUGUGAAGCUUCUAGGUUGUUGUAUUGAAGAAGAAGAGAAAAUGCUAAUCUAUGAGUACUUGCCAAACAAAAGCUUGGACUAUUUCAUUUUUGGUAUCAAUGUCUUAUCUUCUACCAUUUUUGUUGAUCUCUUUUACCUCUAGUUCUUGCAUAAUCACUUGGAGAAGCUAUUUUAACUAUUCAUUCAUUAGUAAUUGAUGCUUCAUAUUUUUUGUACAGAUGAAACAAAAAGGUCAAUGUUGACUUGGAGGAAGCGCUUUGAAAUCAUUAUUGGAAUUGCUCGAGGGAUAUUAUAUCUUCAUCAAGACUCAAGAUUAAGAAUCAUACAUAGAGAUCUAAAAGCAAGCAAUAUUCUAUUAGAUAUUGAUAUGAUCCCAAAAAUUUCAGAUUUUGGCAUGGCUAGAUUAUUUGGCAAGAAUCAAGUUGAAGGAAGCACAAAUCGGGUAGUUGGAACAUAGUAAGUAUCAUAUAUGAGGAGCUAAUAAGGAACACAUGAUUAAAUCUUAAUAAUUUUUCUCAUUUGUUGGUGCAGUGGUUAUAUGUCACCUGAGUAUGCAAUGGAAGGACUAUUUUCAAUCAAGUCUGAUGUAUAUAGCUUUGGGGUUUUGCUACUAGAGAUUAUUACUGGGAGAAAAAACACAGCUUAUUAUUAUGAUAGUCCUUCUUUCAACUUAGUUGGAUGUGUGAGUAAAUUGAUUGUUUGUUGCUCUAUUUUUCCUUUUUUUAUUUACUUAUAUAAGCUAGCUAAUAGUGAAGAAAAAAAAUCAGGUUUGGAGCCUAUGGAGAGAAGACAAGGCCUUGGAUAUAGUAGAUCCAUCACUAGAAAAGUCAAAUCAUGCAAAUGAAGUAUUGAGAUGCAUCCAAAUUGGACUCUUAUGUGUCCAAGAAUCUGCAAUAGAUCGACCUACCAUGUUGACAGUUAUUUUCAUGUUGGGUAACAACUCUACUCUUCCUCCUCCUAAUCAACCUGCAUUUGUUAUGAAAACAUGUCAUAAUGGUGCAAACUCAUCUAGUGUAGUAGUCAAUUCUAUAAAUGAGGUAACAAUAACUAUGGAUGCACGCUAAAUGCUCAAACUCUCAUAUGUAAAUUUAUUUACCAUGACAAGAAAUUGUGCACACAAUAUCAUUAAAUUUAUUUAUUUUUAUAAAUCACUUUUUAUAUAUGCUUAUGUGGAUGACAAAUAAAAUGAUUAUAUAUAUAUAUUUUUUUACAUAAACUGACCCAUCAUGUUUUGCAAGGCUUCUAAAUACAUAAAUGUAUGCUCAAAAAUGGAAUAAAGUCAAACAAUUGAUUAAACAUAUUCACUCCAUUGAAAGCUUAAUUGAGUCCCUUAGUAGGGUCUUUAGGUGACCAAUUCUAAAUUAGGUGACCAAUUAAACUAGUAUUCUUAUGCUUGAUUGAAAUAUCGAUGGUUUUCAGUUAGGAAAUCCAUCAAAGUUCAAUUCAAACUUUUGGAGAAAAAAAAACAUAGUACUUAUUAGGUGUUUGUAUAAAUUAAAACACAAAAAUAAUGAUGGAAUUUUGAGCUAAUUAUUUACAAAAUUUUCAAGAUUACCCUUAAGCCAUAUUUGACUCUUAUUUGUUUUUCAAACUUUCCCUCAUGUUUUAAAACGAACUUCUUUACAAAUGGAAAAUCCCAAAACUUAACAUAAUAGAUGAUAUCAAAAUAAAGAAGUUUGAACUAGGGAUGGCAAUGGGGAGGGUCUUUUCGGGUACCCGUCCCUAAUGGGACGAGGUUUAAUUUUAAUAAACGGGUUUGAGACGGGUUUGAGAAUUUUUUAAAAAACCUGGGGCGGGUUCGGGUAUUGCCCCGCCCCGAUUAUAUAUAAAAUUAAAUUUAAAAUUAAAUUUAAUUUAAAAUUAAUUUAAUUUAAUUUUUAUUUUGUUAUUUUUAAUAUAUAGAUAAUAAUAAAAUAUUUUAAUAAAAUAAGUUAUAAAAAAUAUAUUAUAAUUUAAUUAUUUACAAAAUAUAUUUAUUUUAAUAUAAUUAAAAAUUUUAAAAGUAAUUUUUUUAAAUAAUAUUAAAAUUCAAAAAAAAGUUAAACGGGGUAGAAUUUAUCAUACCCGCCUGCCCCGCCCCGCCUCGUUUAAUUUUUUAAAUGAGACGGGGAUGAGAAUUGUUUCAAAUAAACAGGGCAGAGUUAGGAUGGGGGCGACCCGUCUCGAACCCGCCCCAUUGCCAUCCCUAGUUUGAACAUAAGUCAAUAAUUUCUCUAUUGUGUUAUUACUAUGAAUAUAUGUUACUUGAGUAUAUAAUUUGGAUUGAUAUUCAACAGACAAAGAUAGAGACCAACUGAACUCUAAUAUCAUUUUGAACAACCAAUUUUCUUAAAAAAUUAAGUUUAUAAGAUUUGAGGUCAAUAUGCAUUUCAUGCUCAUUAACACUCAACACAUAUUUCAAUAAGAAAUUUCAUAGACUCCUCAAACAUUUAUAUUACAUACAACUCAGGGCACCAAAGAAUAUAAGUAAAAGGAGUAUGCGCUAGAAGUCAUUAUUUCUAAUAUUUUCAAAAUUGAACUAAUCAUUAAAUCAAAAAAGUUGUCCAACUAUAAUUUAAGAUUGUCAAUCAAACCAUGAUGGUGUAAGUAUCAUAUUACAAAUAUUUAAUUUAUAUAUUAUUAAAUUUAAAACAAUCAUUAAAAAUUAAAACAAUAUAUAAAUGAUUACAAAUUUUAAAACAUUUGUUUAAUAUUACCAUAUCAAUGGUAAAAUGUAAAUAUAUUCAUACUUUUUAUUUUAUUAAAUCAUAAAAUUAUAAUAUCUAAUUAUUCAAAAGGUAUUCAAAAUUGAAAUAAAAUUUCAUUAUUUAUCUUAUUCAUGCUUCACUUUUAUAAAAAUUUCAUAAAAUUUUUAUAUUUUUUAUUUUUUAUUUGCAUAUUAUUAAAAUUUUAUAUUUUAUAUAAAAUUCUAUAAAAUUUCAUAAAAUUAAAAAUUUUUAUUUUUUAUUUUUUAUUUUUUAUUUGCAUAUUAUUAAUUUUAUAAUUUAUCAUUUUAUCACUUUACAUGUUGUAUGUAUGGGAAGUUAACUUUACUUCUAAAUUUAUUAUGAGCCAUUUCGUCCAACAGCAGAAAUAUUUUUGUCAUAUUGGCGCCACUCAUAUGAGGCAAGCCAAUAUAGUCCACCUCCCUGCAGGCGGUGGUUCUUUGGUCCAACAAGAAAUCGAAUUGGAGACAUAAUUAAUCCUCGAUUAAAUCAAAUCAAUCUCAUUUCAAAAAGAAAAAGUGUUCUUCAUAAUCAAAUUUUAAAAUAACCACAAAAUAAAUUUUUUUAAAAGUAAUUGAAGUUUUAUGUAUUCUAAAAUCAAAAAUAAUAUUUAGGGCUAAUGUAAUAUUUAUAUCAUUAAAAAAGUACAUCAACUUAAAAUUACAAAAUUUUAAUUAUUAUUAAAGAAAUGUAUUAUAUUUAUAAUUUUUAAAAUUGAGUUUUUAUUUUAUGAUUUAUUUUUAAAUGCUUACGAAACCAAACUUUUCCAUUUCCAAAACGUUAACAUACAUGGCGAUAGGUUUGCAAACUUGAAAAGCAAUACUGCCAUUUAACAUCGAAGGAUUUAAUUGUGGUCUUGUGUUUUUCGGAGGUCCCAAAAACAAGGUGAAAACAUAAAACAACAUUGACACCAACUCAACGUGUGAUUACGUCGAUAUAAGUUUCAGUGUGGUCAAUAGAAUUUUCUUCCCUUGACUUACCAUCAUGUAGGCUAGUGCCUGCCUUGUCUUCCCAUGGGAGACGACAAAUGCACCAAAUGUUGGAGAACUUUGAACAAUUUGAGCAAUUGGCCAUUGCCAACCACCUCUUUAAGUAAUGUGGAAUUUACAGGUGAUGCUCCCCAUAUAUCCGAGUGAAUGAGCUUGAAAGGGGCAGCAGUUUUGGUUUCUAAACUUGGAAAAGGUAACACAUGACUUUUACCAUAUUGGUAAGUUGAGCCACAAGUCUUUAGCACUUGACUUAAAAUUUUGGUAGAAGGAUGACCAAGCCUUCUAUGCCAGACAUUGGUUUCAUCAUUAGAAACAAUCAUUGAGCAACAAACUGAAUUGCAGGAGUUGUUUGGAUGAUAACUACUAAUAGACAUGUUAGAAUUUGAAGCAAAAGGCCUUGGGAGUUUUUCUAUUUUGGGAUGCAGCAGUAGGUUGAGGCUCAAUCAACAGGUAUAUGCCAUAUUUAAGUCUCCCUCACAGCAGCACAUUCUUUGUAGUUUUUGUCUUUUACAAGGCAAAAGUCAGUGAAAUUCUAUGAAUAUAUGAUUAUCAGCAGUAAGUUUGGAGAUGCUGACUAAGUUUUUAGUAAUUUUAGGCACUCUAUGUUUUUGAGGUGUAAUAAUUUGGCAUAAGUUAUUGGAUAAUAUGAGUGACCUAUGUGUGUAAUGUCAAGACUCUUACCAUUUCCAAUCAUCAGCUUCUCCUAUCCUUCAUAUGGUUUCUUCAAGCUCAGAUUAUUCAUCUUAGCUGUAACAUGAUUUGUAGCUCCACUAUCAGCAUACCAACUUGGAUCAAUCACUGUAUAUGGUGUGGCCAUGUAGACUGUUGUCUUAUAGUUGCUAUUGCUGCUAGUAGAGGAUGAUGUAGGCUAAAAGUUCUCAUUCAUUCAAUGCCAACAACUAAGAGCUAUGUGCCCUUGUUUACCACAAAUUUGGCAAAUAGGUUUAUUGCCAUUGCUUCUGCCAGAAAAACCUUCAUUUCUUCCUUUGCCUCGACCUCGAGGGUUCAAGUUUCAUUUUCCAUGACCAUGAUUUCCUCCAUUUUUAUGAGCAGCAAAAUUGGCAGAUAAAUGGUGUGAAUCUUAAUUAGUUGCAUAUAAUUGCUCAAUUCUACUUUCUUGAUUGAGUAGAAGAGCAUGAAUCUCCUUUAGAGAAAUAUGAUCACUGUUAUUACGGGUGGUAAUGCUGCAUACAAUUGGAUCUUAUUCUGAUCCGAGACCUGCUAAAAUAUAAAGUACCAAAUCUUCUUCACCGACAAAACAACCAGCCAUUGCACAUUGAUCUGCAAUAUUUUCCAUCUUAGCAAAGUAAUCACUCAUUGUCAUAAAUCAUUUUCUUAAUGUCUGUAAUUGCAUCUUGAGUUGUAGCAGUUUUGCUUUUGAUUUUGAGGUAAACAAGUGCUCCAAGGUUAUCUAGAGUUCAUGUGAAGUGGUAUAGUGAACAACUUGGCUUAGGAUUACAGUUGAUAAAGACGAAAGCAACCAACUCAGUAGUAAUCAUGGACAAAAAUAUUGGGAUAUAUCGGCGAUAUAUUGUGUAUCGGAGGAGGUGGAUAUGAUAUAUAGGUAAGAUAUAUUGUCUGAUGGAAAUGUUGGUAAAUAUCGGUAAAUAUCGGCUAUCGACGAUUAAUCGGUAAUCAUGGAUAUAUCAAUGAUACAAGCAAAAUUCAGCCUUAAAUGGGAAAAAAUCGUUGAAAUUUCAGAGAUAUAUCGGUGAAAAAUCGGUAAAUAAUUAAAUUAUUAUAAAUAAGUUAAUUUUAAUUAUCUUAUAAUUUAUUUUAUAUACUAAUUAAAUAUAAAAUCAUAAAUAAAAUUAUCAAUCUUUUUAAAUAAAAAUAUUUUGUAUCAAAAUGUAUCAAUAUUUUAAAAUAAAAAUCAUAAAUAUAUAUAAAUAACAUAAUUAGUACGUUUACAAUAAUUUAGUUUUCAAUUAAUAAUUUUAUUUUAUUUUGAUAUUCAAGUGUAAUAAUAGUAUAUUGAGAAUAAAUUAACUUAGUACAUUUUUAAAUUAGUAUAACAUUGAAUUUAAAUUAGUACAUUUUUAUAAUUAAUUAAUAUAUUUUCAAUAGAGGUAAGUAAAUUAACUUAACAUAAUAAUAUAUUUAAAUCACAUCAUUAGUAUAUUUAUAAUAAUUUAACUUUAUAAUGAGUCUACACUUACAAAAUUUACAUUUCUUAUCACACUAUAUAAUUAAAUUUAAUAUCAUAAAUCAUAUUAUAUAUAUAUUAAUUUCUCCAACAAAACAACUUUAAAAUGUCUAUUAUACUUCUAAUUUCAUUUUUAAGAGUUUUUUUCUUACAUUUUCAUAAGUUUUGAUGAAUUUUUGGUGUAUCCGCUGAUAUAUCUCUGCCGAUAUAUAUGUAAAAUUCAAGUACCGAUAUAUCCGUAAUUACUAAUAUUUUUAUCCUUGGUAGUAAUUGAUCUUCUCUGUUCAUUGUUCAAAUUCAGGAUUGAUAAUCCUAACAUUGUUCAGAUUCCAAGAAUUCUGGUGGUUGUGGCUUUGUGCCAAACAGGUAGCCUUCAAGGCCAUGACCUCUAGCUGCAGGUAAUACUUGAGAUUUCCAUAAGAGAAAAUUAUCCCGAUCGAGUUUGAUUGAGAGUGCUGUGCUAAGAGUGGUUGUGAAUGGAGAAGACACAUUUGUCUUUUGCAACACAUUCAGGCUUGGUGCAGUAGAGACAAAUCCAGACUCUGAGAGACAUUCUCUUGCUUAAAGAAAGAAAAAUGAGAUCUCCGAUACCAUGUGAAGAAACUGUUUGGUGACUAAGAAAAGAAAAUGGAAGAAAACAAUGGAGCCAGAAAACAAAUAUUGGAGGGACUGAAGUUUAUUUUUCUUAUUACCAGAACCGAUUUCAACAGAUUCCUAACUUCUUGGAAGUUUCCAACCGACCCAGGAACCGGGAAAAACUCGCUUAGGAUUAACACCAGUGGGUCUGCACAAUUUUUUUCUGUACCAGUGUUCAGAGCCGCUAUGGAGAUCCGGUAACUGGAACGGGCUCCGGUGGAGCGGUCUGCCGGUGAUGAUGCACAGAACCAUAAUCAAUGCUAGCUUUCUGAACAAUCAAGAUGAAAUCUCUUAUAUGUUUACCGUGGUCAACGCGCCGGUUCUCUCGAGGAUGACGGCCGACCUCGACGAUUAUCUUCAGCGGUACACGUGGCAGGAAACCGAAGGCAAAUGGUUCGGCUUCUAUACAGCCCCAAGGGACCGGUGCGACAGGUACAGCCGGUGCGGACCGAACAGCAACUGCGACAAUCGCCACACCGAGUUUGAGUGCACCUGCCUAGCGGGGUUCGAGCCCAAGUCCCCACGUGACUGGUUCUUGAAAGACGGCUCAGCGGGAUGCCUGAGGAAGGAAGGAGCGAAGGUGUGCGGGAAGGGGGAAGGGUUUGUGAAGGUGGGAGGUGCGAAGCCCCCAGAUACAUCGGUGGCACGUGUGAACAUGAACAUGAGCUUGGAAGCGUGUAGAGAGGAGUGCCUGAAGGAGUGUUCUUGCAGUGGAUACGCCGCUGCAAACGUGAGUGGAAGUGGGAGUGAGUGCUUGUCUUGGCAUGGGGAUUUGGUGGAUACAAGAGUGUUUCCUGAAGGGGGCCAAGACUUAUAUGUGUGUGUGGAUGCCAUCACUCUAGAUAUCCUAACAUUUAAUUGUCAGGAUUCAUGAAUGAUUUCUCUCUCAGAUUUAUGAGAUCAUUUCAAAAGGUUUCCUAGCGAAGAAGGGGAUGAUGGCAGUUUUGGUGGUGGGGGCUGCUGUGAUUAUGGUUCUAUUGCUCUCCUCAUUUUGGUUAAGGAAGAAGAUGGAAGGUAAUCAAACAAAAAUUCUUAUGGUCCAUUUAAGCCUUCUAUCCAAUGUUUGUGUCUUGGGCAUGGAUUAACAUGAAGAGAUUACUAUGAAAAGCCAAACAUUUCUAAGCUUAGUUAUCCAAUGAAUUAAUCUGGGGUUGAGUAUUUUUUUCCUUGCUUUCAUGGUAUUAAGGAAUUGUAUUCUUUCUUAAUUUUUUCCCAUCUAUUUUGCCUAGAAUCAAAGAAGCAUUAUUUAUUGUUAUACUUCCAUGACAAGGAGAGGAAAACAAAACAAAAUGUUGUAUAAUUUGAGACCUGGAGCUACAUGGUUGGAAGACUCUCUGGGAGCUACGGAGCAUGAUGAAAGUAUGACCAAUUUUGAAUUUCAAUUGUUUGAUUGGAACACCAUAGCCAGAACCACAAAUAAUUUCUCUUCUAAGAACAAACUUGGACGUAGUGGUUUUGGUUCAGUUUAUAAGAUGGUAAGUCAUUAAUUCUCAAAUCUAUGAUGAUUACUAAAAUUGUUGGGCUUUCUUUCAUUGCACAAACAUUACGCUAAGUUGAAUCUUCUUAACUGUGAAUAAGCUAAUUCUACAUCAUGAUUAUCAGGGUCAACUAUCUAAUAGACAAGAAAUAGUUGUGAAAAGAUUAUCAAAGGAUUUAGGACAAGGAAAAGAAGAAUUUAAGAAUGAAGUAACAUUUAUUGCAAAACUCCAACACAUGAAUCUUGUGAGGCUUUUGCAUUGUUGUAUUCAAGAAGAAGAGAAAAUGUUAGUUUAUGAGUACUUGCCAAACAAAAGUUUAGACUCUUUCAUUUUUGGUAUGUACCAUUUCUUUUCUGCCAUUUCCAUUUCUUUAAUCUUCUAAGGUUCUUGCAUAAUCACUUGGAGAAGUUAUUUGCCUAAUAAAAAUCAUUAUUAGUAGAUCCUAACAUUGUUUUACUGAUUGAUAUUUUAUAUAUCUUUGGGUAAGAUGAAACAAAGAAGUCAUUGUUAGAUUGGAGAAUACACUUUGAAAUUAUUAUGGGAAUUGCUCGAAGAAUCUUAUAUCUUCAUGAGGACUCCACAUUAAGAAUCAUACACAAAGAUCUAAAAGCAAGCAAUGUUCUACUAGAUGCUGAAAUGUUUCCAAAAAUUUCAGAUUUUGGCAUGGCUAGAAUAUUUGGAGGAAACCAAAUGGAAGUAAACACAAGUCGAGUGGUUGGAACAUAGUACAUGUUAUGUUUGAGAUGCCAAAGAAACAUAUUAGUUAAUAUAUAUGUCUUAAUAAUUUCUUUUAUUUGCUAUUACAAUGGUUACAUGUCACCUGAGUAUGUGAUGGAAGGGUUAUUUUCAACAAAAUCUUAUGUUUAUAGUUUCGGAGUUUUGUUGUUAGAGAUUAUUACUGGGAAAAAAAAUAGCACUUAUUAUCGGGAUAGUCCAUCCAUGAACUUAGUUGGAAAUGUGAGUGAGCUGAAUGUGUGUUGCAUUACCUUUUUCUUUUCAUUCUUUACAGUAAGUUAAUAAUAGUAAAAUUAUCAGGUUUGGAACCUAUGGGAAGAAGACAAAGCCUUGGAUAUAAUUGAUCCGUCACUAGAAAAGUCACAUCCUGCAGAUGAAGUAUUGAGAUGCAUCCAAAUUGGGCUCUUAUGUGUCCAAGAAUCUGCAACGGAUCGACCUACCAUAUUGGCUAUUAUUUUCAUGUUGGGUAACAACUCUGCUCUUCCUUUUCCUAAACGACCUGCAUUUAUUUCAAAAACUCACAAGGGUGAAGACCUAUCAUACUCUAGUAAAGGACUUUUAUCUAUAAAUGAUGUGGCUGUAACUUUGCCUCAACCUCGCUGAAUGCUUACAAUCUCAAUUUAUCUUCCAUGACAAGGAAUUGUAUACACAUGUCAUUAAGAGAACACCUUUUGAUUUAAUGAUCAUAGUUAGACAAUUAACCAACUUGGUAAGUGUAUGCUCAAAGAUAGGG
RNAcentral lists this long non-coding RNA (23907 nucleotides) under Vitis vinifera (wine grape). RNAcentral's name for it is "long non-coding RNA (VVIN_LNC007767)". Lineage: Eukaryota; Viridiplantae; Streptophyta; Magnoliopsida; Vitales; Vitaceae. The record is from RNAcentral.